UCCCUGGUGGCUCAGAGGUUAAAGCGUCUGCCUACAAUGCUGGAGACCUGGGUUCAAUCCCUGGGUUGGGAA
RNAcentral lists this transfer RNA (72 nucleotides) under Bos taurus (domestic cattle). It matches the Rfam family "tRNA". Rfam says of the family: Transfer RNA (tRNA) molecules are approximately 80 nucleotides in length. Their secondary structure includes four short double-helical elements and three loops (D, anti-codon, and T loops). Further hydrogen bonds mediate the characteristic L-shaped molecular structure. tRNAs have two regions of fundamental functional importance: the anti-codon, which is responsible for specific mRNA codon recognition, and the 3' end, to which the tRNAs corresponding amino acid is attached (by aminoacyl-tRNA synthetases). tRNAs cope with the degeneracy of the genetic code in two manners: having more than one tRNA (with a specific anti-codon) for a particular amino acid; and 'wobble' base-pairing, i.e. permitting non-standard base-pairing at the 3rd anti-codon position. Lineage: Eukaryota; Metazoa; Chordata; Mammalia; Artiodactyla; Bovidae. RNAcentral also lists the same sequence under 4 other names. The record is from Rfam by way of RNAcentral.